This 1206-nucleotide long non-coding RNA is filed under the name Naja naja (Indian cobra). RNAcentral describes it as "lncRNA (ENSNNAG00000006089.1)". Lineage: Eukaryota; Metazoa; Chordata; Lepidosauria; Squamata; Elapidae. The record is from RNAcentral.
AGGUAUAGAAUAGGUGGUACCUGGCUCAACAGGGAACUUGGGAGUCCUAGUGGACAAUAACUGAAAUGUGAGCAGGCAGUGUGUGGCAGCAGCCGCUAAAAAAAGCCAUUGCAAUCCUAAGGCUGCAUUAACAGAGGGAUAGAAUCACCAUCACAUGAAGUGUUGAUACCACUUUAUGAUGUCUUGGUAAGGCCACACUUGCAAUAAUAGCUCGUUUUGGUUGCCACCAUACAAAGAAAGAGAGACUAGAGAGAGCAGCAACUAAGAUGAUUAGGAGAUCUGGAGGAUAAAACAUACCAAGGAAAGUUGCAGGCACUGGGUAUGUCUAGUUUAAUGAAAAGGAGGACUGGGGUGACAUCAUAGCAGUCUUCCAAUAUCUAAUGGGUUGCCGCAAAUAAGAGGGAGUCAAGCUAUUCUCCAAAGCACCUGAAGGCAGGACAAGAAGGGAUGGAUGGAAACUUAUCAAGGAGAGAAGCAACCUAGAACUAAGGAGAAAUUUCCUGACAGUUAGAACAAUUAAUCAGUGGAACAACUUGCCUCCAGAAGUUGUGAAUUCUCAAACAUUGGAAAUUUUUAUGAAGAGAUAAGACAACCAUUUUCAGAAAUGGUGUAGGGUUUCCUGCCUGAGCAGCGGGUUGGACUAGAUGACCUCCAAGCUCCCUUCCAAAUCUCUUAUUCUGGCAUGAACACGAAUCCCUGAACUGGCUACCCGGGUGGCAAAUUCAAGCAUUUGCAGAAGCCCUUGCCCCAGCUCUCCAUUGUUCUAGGUUCUCCCCACCAUGGGGAAUCACACACCCUAAGCCAACCAGCUUCUUAGCUUCCAGAUUUUUAGCUUGCAGCUCAUCUAGCAGGUCACUGCUUUUGGUUACUCUUCCCAUCAACCUAAACCAGAAACCCUAUUAAUAAUAGCAGUUCUUUGGAAGGCCUUUGCAAUUCACAGCCUUAACACAGACAGAAGCACACACACAAAUUGGACGAGCAUCUAAUAAAAUACAAGGCAAACUUCAGCCAAGACAAAUGAAGACUCAUUAAUUAAGAGGAUAAUCUUAACCACCAUUUGCAUCCCAAAGAAUUUUCUCUACAGUGGAAGGUGAAAGAGUCAGCUGCCUAUUGUGAAUCCCAGUGCUUUAAACAUGCAAACAAGGGCCCUUUCACUUUAUUUUGCAAAUAAAUGAACUCCUCUUGAGGAAGGGCUCCCCAGCCGAG